GAUGAAGAACGCAGCGAAAUGCGAUAAGUAAUGUGAAUUGCAGAAUUCAGUGAAUCAUCGAAUCUUUGAACGCAUCUUGCGCUCCUUGGUAUUCUGAGGAGCAUGCCUGUUUGAGUGUCAUUAAAUUCUCAACUACACUGACUUUGAAUUGGUGUGGCUUGGAUUUGGGGGGAAAAUUGUUGUGGGCUUUUUGUAUAGUCUGCUCCCCUGAAAUUGAUUAGCGGUACCUUUGUGGAACUGUCUACAGGUGUGAUAAUUAUCUACAUCUUAGACAUCUGCUGGAAUGCUGCUUUCUAAACCUUACUUGUAUUGACAAUCUUGACCUCAAAUCAGGUAGGACUACCCACUGAACUUAAGCAUAUCAAUAAGCGCAGGA
Molecule: unclassified non-coding RNA, 376 nt
Filed under: soil metagenome
Description: partial contains 5.8S ribosomal RNA, internal transcribed spacer 2, and large subunit ribosomal RNA
Rfam family: 5.8S ribosomal RNA (bases 1-120)
Source: RNAcentral